Molecule: small nucleolar RNA, 70 nt
Organism: Scleropages formosus (Asian bonytongue)
Lineage: Eukaryota; Metazoa; Chordata; Actinopteri; Osteoglossiformes; Osteoglossidae
Source: Ensembl
CUUGUGAGUGAUGAAAUGUUUACCGCCCCAGUCUGACUUCAGGUGACUGAGUGGUAUCUUCUGAACUACA